Molecule: ribosomal RNA, 492 nt
Filed under: uncultured bacterium
Lineage: Bacteria
Description: partial 16S ribosomal RNA
Rfam family: Bacterial small subunit ribosomal RNA
Source: RNAcentral
AGUGAACGCUGGCGGUAGGCCUAACACAUGCAAGUCGAACGGCAGCACAGUAAGAGCUUGCUCUUACGGGUGGCGAGUGGCGGACGGGUGAGGAAUACAUCGGAAUCUACUUUUUCGUGGGGGAUAACGUAGGGAAACUUACGCUAAUACCGCAUACGACCUACGGGUGAAAGCAGGGGAUCUUCGUACCUUGCGCGAUUGAAUGAGCCGAUGUCGGAUUAGCUAGUUGGCGGGGUAAAGGCCCACCAAGGCGACGAUCCGUAGCUGGUCUGAGAGGAUGAUCAGCCACACUGGAACUGAGACACGGUCCAGACUCCUAAGGGAGGCAGCAGUGGGGAAUAUUGGACAAUGGGCGCAAGCCUGAUCCAGCCAUACCGCGUGGGUGAAGAAGGCCUUCGGGUUGUAAAGCCCUUUUGUUGGGAAAGAAAAGCAGCAGGUUAAUAACCCGCUGUUCUGACGGUACCAAAAGAAUAAGCACCGGCUAACUUCGUG